AGUGAACGCUGGCGGUAGGCCUAACACAUGCAAGUCGAACGGCAGCACAGUAAGAGUUUGCUCUUACGGGUGGCGAGUGGCGGACGGGUGAGGAAUACAUCGGCAUCUACUUUUUCGUGGGGGAUAACGUAGGGAAACUUAUGCUAAUACAGCAUACGACCUACGGGUGAAAGCAGGGGAUCUUCGGACCUUGCGUGAUUGAAUGAGACGAUGUCGGAUUAGCUAGUUGGCGGGGUAAAGGCCCACCAAGGCGACGAUCCGUAGCUGGUCUGAGAGGAUGAUCAGCCACACUGGAACUGAGACACGGUCCAGACUCCUACGGGAGGCAGCAGUAGGGAAUAUUGGACAAUGGGCGCAAGCCUGAUCCAGCCAUACCGCGUGGGUGAAGAAGGCCUUCGGGUUGUAAAGCCCUUUUGUUGGGAAAGAAAAGCAGCAGGUUAAUACCCCGCUGUUCUGACGGUACCCAAAGAAUAAGCACCGGCUAACUUCGUG
RNAcentral lists this ribosomal RNA (492 nucleotides) under uncultured bacterium. RNAcentral's name for it is "partial 16S ribosomal RNA". It matches the Rfam family "Bacterial small subunit ribosomal RNA", at positions 29 to 507 of the family's 1533-position model. The record is from RNAcentral.